CGUUUUACGCUUAUUUUAUGUAAGAUUAAUUCUGCCCGGUGAGUAUACUCUUUAACGGCCGCAGUACCUUGACUGUGCUAAGGUAGCAUAAUCAAUUGGUCUUUAAAUGAGGCCUAGAAUGAAAGGAACCAUGGAAAGAAACUGUCUCUCUUAAUAGCUUUUUCUAACUUAAUUAAUAGGUGAAAAUACCUAUACCUAAGAAAAAAGACGAGAAGACCCUAAGAAUUUUUAGAUAUUUCUGUUUUACUCAAAGCUUUUUGUUGGGGUGACAUUUUAACACGUAAACUUAAAUUAUUAAAUAAACCGAGAUAAUUUAUAAAAGGUAAAAUUACCUUAGGGAUAACAGCAUAAUUUUUUUAAAAGAUUAUGACCUCGAUGUUGGACUAGGAGCUUAAUAAUAAGCAAUUUUAAAAGAGGGUUCUGUUCGAACUAUUCUCUCCU
RNAcentral lists this ribosomal RNA (441 nucleotides) under Gonaxis gibbosus. RNAcentral's name for it is "partial 16S ribosomal RNA". It matches the Rfam family "Bacterial large subunit ribosomal RNA", at positions 1824 to 2597 of the family's 2925-position model. Lineage: Eukaryota; Metazoa; Mollusca; Gastropoda; Stylommatophora; Streptaxidae. The record is from RNAcentral.